RNAcentral lists this ribosomal RNA (482 nucleotides) under uncultured bacterium. RNAcentral describes it as "partial 16S ribosomal RNA". It matches the Rfam family "Bacterial small subunit ribosomal RNA", at positions 28 to 523 of the family's 1533-position model. The record is from RNAcentral.
AGUGAACGUUGGCGGCGUGGAUUAGGCAUGCAAGUCGAGCGAGAACCGUAGCAAUACGGGGACAGCGGCGAAAGGGACAGUAAUGUGUAGGUACCUACCCCGAGGUCUGGGAUAGCUGCGGGAAACUGCAGGUAAUACCGGAUAAUGUCUUCGGACCAAAGGUGUGAUUCCACCUUGGGAGGGGCCUGCAUCCUAUUAGCUAGUUGGCGGGGUAAUGGCCCACCAAGGCAACGAUGGGUAGCGGGUGUGAGAGCACGACCCGCGUCAUUGGGACUGAGACACUGCCCAGACACCUACGGGUGGCUGCAGUCGAGGAUCUUCGGCAAUGGGCGAAAGCCUGACCGAGCGACGCCGCGUGUGGGAUGAAGGCCUUCGGGUUGUAAACCGCUGUCGUAGAGGAGGAAAUGCAGGGGGGUUCUCCCUUCUGUUUGACCUAUUCUAGGAGGAAGUACGGGCUAAGUUCGUGCCAGCCGCCGCUGUAA